RNAcentral lists this ribosomal RNA (492 nucleotides) under uncultured bacterium. RNAcentral describes it as "partial 16S ribosomal RNA". It matches the Rfam family "Bacterial small subunit ribosomal RNA", at positions 29 to 507 of the family's 1533-position model. The record is from RNAcentral.
AGUGAACGCUGGCGGUAGGCCUAACACAUGCAAGUCGAACGGCGGCACAGUAAGAGCUUGCUCUUACGGGUGGCGAGUGGCGGACGGGUGAGGAAUACAUCGGAAUCUACUUUUUCGUGGGGGAUAACGUAGGGAAACUUACGCUAAUACCGCAUACGACCUACGGGUGAAAGCAGGGGAUCUUCGGACCUUGCGCGAUUGAAUGAGCCGAUGUCGGAUUAGCUAGUUGGCGGGGUAAAGGCCCACCAAGGCGACGAUCCGUAGCUGGUCUGAGAGGAUGAUCAGCCACACUGGAACUGAGACACGGUCCAGACUCCUACGGGAGGCAGCAGUGGGGAAUUUUGGACAAUGGGCGCAAGCCUGAUCCAGCCAUACCGCGUGGGUGAAGAAGGCCUUCGGGUUGUAAAGCCCUUUUGUUGGGAAAGAAAAGCAGCAGGUUAAUACCCCGCUGUUCUGACGGUACCCAAAGAAUAAGCACCGGCUAACUUCGUG